GACUAGGUUUGUUCACAUAUCAGUUUUCCCUCUUACUGACCAGAGCCUUACACAAUUGACACAACACUGGCGUAAUUCAUAAGGUCAUCUUUUCAAAUGGGUAAGUGCUUCUAAGAUGAAGUUACUUUUCCAACUGCACAGAAAGAACUUUUCUGCAACCUAGAUUCUUAUAUUUAUUUACCAUCAUUGAGCAUAAUGGUCUCAGUAAACCUGGCCAUCGUCUGAGUUAAACAGCCUCAUAUAUUAGGAAGAAAGUGGACCAGAAUUCAGAACAACCCUGAUUCAAAUCCCAACUUUGCUACUAACAAGUGAUGUGCUGUUAAGCCGGUGUCCUAACUCUUCCGGGUCUCAGUUUCUUAUCGUAAAAUGGGUUUAAAAUCUCAGCCAUAUAUCACAAAUUUUUUGUGAGGAUUCAAUGGAACAAGAUAUUAUAGAUGGUGGCUUUUAAGAAAAUGCUCAUUUGGCUAGGAGCUGACAGAACAUUUGGGUUGCACAAGGUCUGCUGGAGCACUUUAGAGAAUUCCAGAUGAAUCUUGAUUGCAUCCUGGAAUGUACCGCUGGAGCCCUGGGGACCAGCAUGGGACAUGAGUGAAGACAAGAUGGGCUCUACUGUCCUCCAGACCUGCAUAUGUGUGUUCGAAUCCUAACUCCAUGGGGCUUGAGUCUGUAUCCCUCUGGAAAAAUGGGAGUAAAAGUGCUUACCUUA
Long non-coding RNA from Cebus imitator (Panamanian white-faced capuchin), 706 nucleotides. RefSeq lists it as uncharacterized. The record is from RefSeq and is a predicted model, not a curated record. Lineage: Eukaryota; Metazoa; Chordata; Mammalia; Primates; Cebidae. The transcript has 2 exons.